RNAcentral lists this small RNA (856 nucleotides) under Pongo abelii (Sumatran orangutan). RNAcentral describes it as "processed transcript". The record is from RNAcentral. Lineage: Eukaryota; Metazoa; Chordata; Mammalia; Primates; Hominidae.
AUAAGUGCGUGGGCCAUUGUUGACCAAAAUGUCAUUGUGUAUGUGACAGUGUUACCGGAAUGCUGAUCCUGGUCUAGACCCCAAGAGAGGGUUCUUGGACCUCACACAAGAAUGAAUUCAGGAGGCCCAAGAGGAACCUCUGCGUUUACCAGAAAUUGGGAACAUUUACAAAUAAGACACGAAUUAUUUACUUAACGUCACCUCUUAGUCAUUUGGAAUCUACCACAAUUUCGUUGAUGGUCUCUGCUCAAGACGGUGGUGGGCUCACAGCUGUCAUUAAUGCCGACAUCACCAUACACAUUUUCCAGACAACUCUGGCACCUGCUGAGUUUGAAAGGCCUAAGUACACUUUCUUAGUUUAUGAAGAUGUGCCUGAAGAUAGUCCCAUUGGAACAGUGAAAGCAAGAGAGCCCUUGAACUCCUCAGAACCAAUCUUUUACAGGAUUUCUUCUGGUGAUCUCGGCGGAAUGUUCUCCAUUCACCCGUGGCUGGGCACUAUUCGCACCCGGAAGCCCCUGGAUCACGAGACGCAGCCCGUGGUUGUGCUCACGGUGCAGGCGCAGCUCAGCAGCGCCCCAGCUUGCAGCAGCACGGAGGUCAACAUAACAGUCGUGGAUGUCAAUGACAACCACCCAGCGUUCCUCAGGACCUCGGAUGAGAUUAGAAUAUCCCAGACCACGGCCCCUGGCACAGCCUUGUACCUCGCACGUGCGGAAGACAGAGACAGUGGGCGGAACGGACUCAUCCAGUACUCCAUCGCCAGCCCGCAGCCGGGCGUCUUUGCCAUCGACAGAGCCCUGGGGGUGCUGUUCCUCAACGGCAGCCUGGGCGCGAGCAAGCACCGGGAGCUCGCGCU